GAUGAAGAACGCAGCGAAAUGCGAUAAGUAAUGUGAAUUGCAGAAUUCAGUAAAUCAUCGAAUCUUUGAACGCACAUUGCGCCCGGUAGUAUUCUGCCGGGCAUGCCUGUUCGAGCGUCAUUUCAACCAUCAAGCCCCAGCGCUUGUGUUGGGGGCCUGCGGCUGCCGCAGCCCCCCAAAAGCAGUGGCGGGCUCGCUAUCACACCGAGUGCAGUAGUUCAUCUUCUCUCCGGUCUUGUGAGGCGGGUUCCGGCCGUGAAACACCCCACUACAUUCAAGGUUGACCUCGGAUCAGGUAGGAAUACCCGCUGAACUUAAGCAUAUCAAUAAGCGGAGGA
RNAcentral lists this unclassified non-coding RNA (338 nucleotides) under soil metagenome. RNAcentral describes it as "partial contains 5.8S ribosomal RNA, internal transcribed spacer 2, and large subunit ribosomal RNA". The stretch from base 1 to 120 matches the Rfam family "5.8S ribosomal RNA", at positions 35 to 154 of the family's 154-position model. The record is from RNAcentral.